Molecule: long non-coding RNA, 3651 nt
Organism: Scylla paramamosain (green mud crab)
Lineage: Eukaryota; Metazoa; Arthropoda; Malacostraca; Decapoda; Portunidae
Exons: 3
Source: RefSeq, a predicted model, not a curated record
GUUUCAAAACAAUUACUUCAUUGCAUACAUUUGCAGCAUAAUCAGCAAUAAUGGUGGGAAACGUCUCUAGAAUAUCACCAUCAGUGGCUUCAUGUUGAAAUUGGUGAGAUGUACGUAGGUACCAGCUAAUAAUAACCAACUCGCCAGCCACUGUGUAGCCUACAAUCUCCUACACCUGUAACAUUAUAGCUUAUUGAGCCCGAGCUCCCCACCUCAAGAAUUAUCAAGCCCAUAAGGAUGUUCUCGAUGACCUGAGUGACUCUGAACUGUUGGGCAUAUAUAGACUAGAUCUGCAGGAGUGUUAUUUGUGACAGAUUCAGUUGGAGAUGCCUUUGAGAACCCUACAGGAAGGAGUGAUGCACUAACGCUAGCAAUUAAAGUAAUGAUUAGUGUUAUUUAGCCAAUGGGAAAUGCAGCUCUCCAGCAAUGAUGAUCUUGAACUUUCAUGUGCCCUGUUGUUGGUGUGUCUCAUUUACCUUCUUAGUAAUUGAGGCUUGUGCAACUUUUUUGUGCCACUGAAUGAGUGAAGCCCUUUAGGCUACAUCUUUCCUCUUAAUACUGACUGGAUGAAAGUCUUGCGAUCAGUCCAGCUGGUUUUCCUCUGUUGGCCUUUUUGUCCUUAGGGGUCAUCCUCUCCUUUUAUACUAAAGAAAGAGGACAAGAAAGGAGGUGCUGCUGAGUAGGAGUGGGACUGGCUCAAGGACAUAAAUACUAAGACAAAAUACAUGUGCCUUGUGUGGGAUCUAAUUUACUUAUUAAAACCCACAAACUUAUGGGGUCAUAUCCUUACAAAAUCAAUGAUAAAUUAUCAUUUUUGUUAUUUAAUAAAAAAUAAAAAAAAUUGCACUAUUAAAUCAAAAUUAAGAAACAUAAGAUUUUAUUGCUUUGAUUUUUCACCAUUCCAUACAGGGACUAAAGAGUUGAUCUCAACACAACUUUAAACAUGCUUAGACAAGUUUAAGGCUGAGGUAAACUCUGAGAAUCUUUGUUAAUAUGGCCUCAGAGUCUGAGUUAAAGAUGUUGGCUGGUGGCUCUAGUGUGUUUGGGGAUGGAAUGGAGUUGAGCAGACUGGCUGAAGAGGUUGAUAAGGGUUUCAGGUUAUCCAAUAUCCAACUUAUUCAGAUUUGGUUUAUGGAGGUUUUACUGAUGUAUGAAUGAUCAAGCAUCAUAAAUGCUUUUUAAAUGUAGAGCAAACACCUUAAAACUAAAUGAUAGAAAAGAUUUACAGUUGAGAAAACAGAAUAGUGUAUGUGAAGCUAAAAGUGAAAAUCUAACACACUUUAUAUUUUGGUGUCCUGCAUAUAUCACAGAAAGACAAAAAAAUGGGAGAUUACAACAGGGAAGAGCAGAGGAUAUAACUAGACAAAAAAAUGGGAGAUUACAACAGAGAAGAGCAGAGGAUAUAACUGGUGAACUAUUAUUUAACAACGAUUCUGGGCUUGUUCCUCCCUCUCCUCUAUCCUAUGACUGCUUCAUGCUACCUAUUAAAAUUCUUUGCAAUGAUGUUUUCCAUGCCCUUGCUGGCCUAAACCCUCGGAAGGCUUAUGGACCUGAUGGGGUCCCUCCUAUUGUUCUCCGAAACUGUGCCUCCGUCCUUGCACCUUGCCUAGUCAAACUCUUUCAGCUCUGUCUGUCAACGUCUACCUUUCCUUCUUGCUGGUAGUUUGCCUACAUUCAACCUGUUCUUAAAAAGGGUGACCAUUCUAAUCCCUCAAAGUACCGUCCUAUUGCUUUAAUUUCCUGCCUAUCUAAAGUUUUUGAAUCUAUCCUCAACAGGAAAAUUCUUAAACAUUUAUCGAUCGCCAGUAUGGGUUCCGUCAAGGCCGCUCUACUGGUGAUCUUCUGGCUUUCCUUACUGAGUCUUGGUCAUCCUCUUUUAGAGAUUUUGAUGAAACUUUUGCUGUUGCCUUGGACAUAUCAAAAGCUUUUGAUAGAGUCUGGCACAAAGCUUUGAUUUCCAAAACUACCCUCCUACGGCUUCUAUCCUUCUCUCUGUAACUUCAUCUCAAGUUUCCUUUCUGACUGUUCUAUUGUUGCUGUGGUAGAUGGUCACUGUUCUUCUCCUAAAUCUAUUAACAGUGGUAUUCCUCAGGGUUCUGUCCUGCUACCCACUCUCUUCUUAUUAUUCAUUAAUGAUCUUCUUAACCAAACUUCUUGUCCUAUCCACUCCUACGCUGAUGAUACCACCCAGCACUUUUACAUGUCUUUUCAUAGACGUCCAACCCUUCAGGAGGUAAACAUUUCACGCAGGGAAGCCACAAAAUGCUUGACUUCUGAUCUUUCUAAAAUUUCUGAUUGGGGCAGAGCAAACUUGGUAUUGUUCAAUGCCUCAAAAACUCAAUUCCUCCAUCUAUCAACUCGACACAACCUUCCAGACAACCAUCCCCUCUUCUUCAAUGACACUCAACUGUCCCCCCCCUUCUACACUGAACAUCCUUGGUCUGUCCUUUACUUAUAAUCUGAACUGGAAACUUCACAUCUCAUCUUUAGCUAAAACAACUUCUAUGAAGUUAGGCGUUCUGAGACGUCUCCGCCAGUUUUUCUCACCACCCCAGCUGCUAACUCUGUACAAGGGCCUUAUCCGUCCAUGUAUGGAGUAUGGUUCACAUGUCUGGGGGGCUUCCACUCAUACUACUCUUCUAGACAGGGUGGAAUCAAAAGCUUUUCAUCUCAUCAACUCCUCUCCUCUAACUGACUGUCUUCAGCUUCUCUCUCACCGCUGCAAUGUUGCAUCUCUAGCUGUCUUCUACCACUAUUUUCAUGCUAUUUGCUCUUCUGAUCUUGCUAACUGCAUGCCUCCCCUCCUCCCGUGGCCUUGCUGCACAAGACUUUCUUCUUUCUCUCACCCCUAUUCUGUCCACCUCUCUAACGCAAGAGCUAACCAAUAUUCUCAAUCAUUCAUCCCUCUCUCUGGUAAACUCUGGAACUCCCUGCCUGCUUCUGCAUUUCCACCUAACUAUGACUUGAAUUCCUUCAAGAGGGAGGUUUCAAGACACUUAUUCAUCAAUUUUUGACUACUGCUUUGAUCCUUUUAUGGGACUGGCAUUUCAGUGGGCAUUUUUUUAUUGGAUUUUUGUUGCCCUUGGCCAGUGUCCUUCCUACAUAAAAAAAAAAAAGCAGUGAAUUGCAUUUUUAAUAAAAGUUACAUUCAUUUUUACUCAAAAAUCUUGCUCCACCUCCAUAUUAUUCUCCUAUUCAGAUUUCACAUGAGGGAUCAGACUAAAGAAAGAAUGUAGCAAUGUUCUUCUAUUGUAAUGUUAUUUGUAAUUUUAAUGGAAACAGGCUGAGAAGUGUAAGGAAUAGGUAGGGUAGUGAAGCAAAGGAGAGACAAGCAGAGAUGAAGAAAAAUUAUGGAAGGGGAGAGAGUAAAUACAACCAACACCAUGACAUGGCCACAAGAAGUAGAACAAAGAGAUCUGGGCAGUGAUACAGUAACAAGAAUAUACAUAGCAGUAGAAGCACCUGUUUUCACCACAGAGAACACAGGAUCUAUAACUUGCUUCUUCCCCUUAGCCAACAAAUAUAAGAUGUGGCAAGGGAGGAAAGAUUGAGAAGAAAGGAAAGGACGUGAGCCCAUGAGGACAACACAGUGGGAUGAGGUUGGCCCAGGUCAGCCCAGAGAUGCAAGAUGAUGCCACAAAAACAACAAAG